GAAGCACGCCAGACCGCCGCUGGUGCAAUCUGGGAAACCAGGCACUGGAGGAACGUCCGGACUGCACAGGACAGCGUAGCAGCUAACGGCUGCCCACCGUGAGGUGAGGAUCAGAGCAACAGAGACGAGUCAGGUCGUUUUCAGCCACCAAGGGUGUUCUAUGGGGGGCCAGCGCAAGCUGGCACCGGCUGGCGCAAGCCAGACGCUCAGGCGCAAGCCUGAAGCCCCAUAGCCACCCAAGGCGCGGAACGCGACUUGGGUGAAACGGGCAAUCUCUACGCGCAGCAAUACCAAGUAGGCCAACGUUGAUGUGGUUCCGCAGAGUUGGCGGGUAGGUAGCA
RNAcentral lists this RNase P RNA (341 nucleotides) under Comamonadaceae bacterium. RNAcentral describes it as "partial RNase P RNA component class A". It matches the Rfam family "Bacterial RNase P class A", at positions 1 to 280 of the family's 367-position model. Rfam says of the family: Ribonuclease P (RNase P) is a ubiquitous endoribonuclease, found in archaea, bacteria and eukarya as well as chloroplasts and mitochondria. Its best characterised activity is the generation of mature 5'-ends of tRNAs by cleaving the 5'-leader elements of precursor-tRNAs. Cellular RNase Ps are ribonucleoproteins. Lineage: Bacteria; Pseudomonadati; Pseudomonadota; Betaproteobacteria; Burkholderiales; Comamonadaceae. The record is from RNAcentral.